RNAcentral lists this ribosomal RNA (682 nucleotides) under uncultured bacterium. RNAcentral's name for it is "bacterial SSU rRNA". It matches the Rfam family "Bacterial small subunit ribosomal RNA", at positions 9 to 670 of the family's 1533-position model. The record is from RNAcentral.
GAGUUUGAUCCUGGCUCAGAUUGAACGCUGGCGGCAGGCCUAACACAUGCAAGUCGAGCGGAAACGAGUUAUCUGAACCUUCGGGGAACGAUAACGGCGUCGAGCGGCGGACGGGUGAGUAAUGCCUAGGAAAUUGCCUUGAUGUGGGGGAUAACCAUUGGAGACGAUGGCUAAUACCGCAUGAUGCCUACGGGCCAAAGAGGGGGACCUUCGGGCCUCUCGCGUCAGGAUAUGCCUAGGUGGGAUUAGCUAGUUGGUGAGGUAAGGGCUCACCAAGGCGACGAUCCCUAGCUGGUCUGAGAGGAUGAUCGGCCACACUGGAACUGAGACACGGUCCAGACUCCUACGGGAGGCAGCAGUGGGGAAUAUUGCACAAUGGGCGCAAGCCUGAUGCAGCCAUGCCGCGUGUGUGAAGAAGGCCUUCGGGUUGUAAAGCACUUUCAGUCAUGAGGAAGGCCUUGUGGUUAAUACCUGCUUCGAUUGACGUUAGCGACAGAAGAAGCACCGGCUAACUCCGUGCCAGCAGCCGCGGUAAUACGGAGGGUGCGAGCGUUAAUCGGAAUUACUGGGCGUAAAGCGCAUGCAGGUGGUUUGUUAAGUCAGAUGUGAAAGCCCGGGGCUCAACCUCGGAAUAGCAUUUGAAACUGGCAGACUAGAGUACUGUAGAGGGGGGUAGAAUUUC